CCCCUAGAUGUUCUGGGCCGCACGCGCGCUACACUGAACAGUUCAACAACUCUUAACCUUGGCCGAUAGGUCUGGGUAAUCUUUGAACGCUGUUCGUGAUUGGGAUAGACCUUUGCAAUUAUGGGUCUUCAACGAGGAAUUCCUAGUAAACGCAAGUCAUCAGCUUGCAUUGAUUACGUCCCUGCCCUUUGUACACACCGCCCGUCGCACCUACCGAUUGAAUGGUCCGGUGAAAUCUCGGGACGGCGGCUUGGUCGCUUGCGUCCGACUGCUGAAACUUGAUUAAACCAUAUCAUUUAGAGGAAGGUGAAGUCGUAACA
RNAcentral lists this ribosomal RNA (320 nucleotides) under uncultured eukaryote. Its description in RNAcentral is "partial 18S ribosomal RNA". It matches the Rfam family "Eukaryotic small subunit ribosomal RNA", at positions 1470 to 1796 of the family's 1831-position model. The record is from RNAcentral.